UAAGACGGGGGGGGCGAGCGUUGUUCGGAAUUACUGGGCGUAAAGGGCGCGCAGGCGGCUUGGGAAGUCUUGGGUGAAAGCCCCCAGCUCAACUGGGGAACGGCCUGAGAAACCACUAGGCUGGAGUGCUGGAGAGGGAAGCGGAAUUCCCGGUGGAGCGGUGAAAUGCGUAGAUAUCGGGAGGAACACCAGAGGCGAAGGCGGCUUCCUGGACAGACACUGACGCUGAGGCGCGAAAGCUAGGGGAGCAAACGGGAUUAGAUACCCCGGUAGUCCUAGCUGUAAACGAUGGGUACUAGAUGUGGGGGGUAAUUGAAAGUCCCUCCGUGUCGCCGAUAACUCAAUAAGUACCCCGCCUGGGGAGUACGGUCGCAAGGCUG
This 380-nucleotide ribosomal RNA is filed under the name uncultured Acidobacteriota bacterium. Its description in RNAcentral is "bacterial SSU rRNA". It matches the Rfam family "Bacterial small subunit ribosomal RNA", at positions 521 to 896 of the family's 1533-position model. The record is from RNAcentral. Lineage: Bacteria; Pseudomonadati; Acidobacteriota.